This 445-nucleotide ribosomal RNA is filed under the name uncultured bacterium. Its description in RNAcentral is "partial 16S ribosomal RNA". It matches the Rfam family "Bacterial small subunit ribosomal RNA", at positions 354 to 796 of the family's 1533-position model. The record is from RNAcentral.
GUGAGGAAUAUUGCGCAAUGGAGGCAACUCUGACGCAGCCAUGCCGCGUGCAGGAAGAAGGCGCUACGCGUUGUAAACUGCUUUUAACCGGGAAGAAACCCCAGGACGUGUCCUGGGUUGACGGUACCGGAGGAAUAAGCACCGGCUAACUUCGUGCCAGCAGCCGCGGUAAUACGAAGGGUGCAAGCGUUAUCCGGAUUCAUUGGGUUGAAAGGGUGCGUAGGCGGAGCGUUAAGUCAGUGGUGAAAUCCUGCAGCUUAACUGUAGACUUGCCAUUGAUACUGGCGCUCUUGAGUGCGCUUGAAGUGGGCGGAAUGUGCCGUGUAGCGGUGAAAUGCUUAGAUAUGGCACAGAACACCAAUUGCGAAAGCAGCUCACUAAGGCGAUACUGACGCUGAGGCACGAAAGCGUGGGGAUCGAACAGGAUUAGAUACCCGGGUAGUCC